ACUAAAUUUGGUUGACAAAGUCAUGCAAAAUUACAUCAUAAUAAAUGCUGUGAAAAGCAAACAGUUAACACCCAACAAUGCUUGUGCUAUAUAAAUUAUGAUAUCUUGAAUACCUAAAAACCAAACUAACAUGGCUUCAAAAGCAACCUCUCUUAUUUGGGCUGUCCUCAUUCUUUGUGUGUUAACACUGUGUGCCAUGAAACUAGCUGGUGCUUCUGAGCUUCAGACAAGGUCGUAUGAAAUGAUGGCUAGUUAUAGAAGGCUAAGAGAUGAUGAUCCUCAGGGAGGCCAUUACCAUCACGUCCAUGAUUAGGCUGAUUAUUGUAAUUGUGUGGUUGUACAUUAAAUUAAUAAUUAUAGAUUGGUGUUGUUUGUCUUGUACGUAGACUGUUCCAAAACAGUUAAUUUGUAACGUUAUCUAUAUAAAAGAUUAGUUCUACUUUGUUUAAGAGUUAUAGGAUCUCUUAUAUCAAUAAAGUGGGAUAGUUAAAACAUCUCUUGUACUCUACCUAAUAUAUUUAGGAUUAAAUUA
Molecule: long non-coding RNA, 532 nt
Organism: Lathyrus oleraceus (garden pea)
Lineage: Eukaryota; Viridiplantae; Streptophyta; Magnoliopsida; Fabales; Fabaceae
Exons: 2
Source: RefSeq, a predicted model, not a curated record